GAUGAACGCUAGCUACAGGCUUAACACAUGCAAGUCGCGGGGCAGCAUGGGGGUUGCUUGCAAUCCCCGAUGGCGACCGGCGCACGGGUGAGUAACGCGUAUCCAACCUGCCCUUCACCACGGGAUAACCCGGCGAAAGUCGGACUAAUACCGUAUGUUGUCCAUUGACGGCAUCCGAUUUGGGCGAAAGGCUUGGCGGUGAGGGAUGGGGAUGCGUCCGAUUAGCCAGACGGCGGGGUAACGGCCCACCGUGGCUACGAUCGGUAGGGGUUCUGAGAGGAAGGUCCCCCACACUGGAACUGAGACACGGUCCAGACUCCUACGGGAGGCAGCAGUGAGGAAUAUUGGUCAAUGGGCGUAAGCCUGAACCAGCCAAGUAGCGUGCAGGAUGACGGCCCUAUGGGUUGUAAACUGCUUUUAUGCGGGGAUAAAGUGGCCCACGUGUGGGCUUUUGCAGGUACCGCAUGAAUAAGGACCGGCUAAUUCCGUG
This 490-nucleotide ribosomal RNA is filed under the name uncultured bacterium. RNAcentral describes it as "partial 16S ribosomal RNA". It matches the Rfam family "Bacterial small subunit ribosomal RNA", at positions 28 to 507 of the family's 1533-position model. The record is from RNAcentral.